AAUGAACGCUGGCGGCAGGCCUAACACAUGCAAGUCGAACGGAUCCUUCGGGAUUAGUGGCGGACGGGUGAGUAACGCGUGGGAACAUACCCGAAGGUACGGAAUAGCCUCGGGAAACUGGGAGUAAUACCGUAUGUGCUCGAAAGAGGAAAGAUUUAUCGCCUUUGGAUUGGCCCGCGUUGAAUUAGGUAGUUGGUGGGGUAAUGGCCUACCAAGCCGACGAUCCAUAGCUGGUUUGAGAGGAUGAUCAGCCACACUGGGACUGAGACACGGCCCAGACUCCUACGGGAGGCAGCAGUGGGGAAUCUUAGACAAUGGGGGAAACCCUGAUCUAGCCAUGCCGCGUGAUCGAUGAAGGCCUUAGGGUUGUAAAGAUCUUUCAGGUGGGAAGAUAAUGACUGUACCACCAGAAGAAGCCCCGGCUAACUCCGUGCCAGCAGCCGCCGUAA
This 449-nucleotide ribosomal RNA is filed under the name uncultured bacterium. RNAcentral describes it as "partial 16S ribosomal RNA". It matches the Rfam family "Bacterial small subunit ribosomal RNA", at positions 29 to 523 of the family's 1533-position model. The record is from RNAcentral.